RNAcentral lists this ribosomal RNA (406 nucleotides) under uncultured bacterium. RNAcentral's name for it is "partial 16S ribosomal RNA". It matches the Rfam family "Bacterial small subunit ribosomal RNA", at positions 29 to 526 of the family's 1533-position model. The record is from RNAcentral.
AUUGAACGCUGGCGGCAGGCCUAACACAUGCAAGUCGAGCGAGCGGCGGACGGGUGAGUAAUGUCUGGGAAACUGCCUGAUGGAGGGGGAUAACUACUGGAAACGGUAGCUAAUACCGCAUACCAUCAGAGGUGCCCAGAUGGGAUUAGCGGGCAGGUUGGGUAACGGCUCACCUAGGCGACGAUCCCUAGCUGGUCUGAGAGGAGGACCAGCCACACUGGAACUGAGACACGGUCCAGAGUCCUACGGUAGGCAGCAGUGGGGAAUAUUGCACAAUGGGCGCAAGCCUGAUGCAGCCAUGCCGCGUGUGUGAAGAAGGCCUUCGGGUUGUAAAGCACUUUCAGCGGGGAGGCGUUACCCGCAGAAGAAGCACCGGCUAACUCCGUGCCAGCAGCCGCGGUAAUAC